RNAcentral lists this ribosomal RNA (477 nucleotides) under uncultured Glomeromycotina. RNAcentral describes it as "SSU rRNA". It matches the Rfam family "Eukaryotic small subunit ribosomal RNA", at positions 712 to 1187 of the family's 1831-position model. The record is from RNAcentral. Lineage: Eukaryota; Fungi; Glomeromycota.
CACGAUGUCAUUAAUUUGGUGUCGUGGGAAAUCAGGACUGUUACUUUGAAAAAAUUAGAGUGUUUAAAGCAGGCUCGCGCUUGAAUACAUUAGCAUGGAAUAAUGAAAUAGGACGUUUGAUUCUAUUUUGUUGGUUUCUAGGAUCGACGUAAUGAUUAAUAGGGAUAGCUGGGGGCAUUAGUAUUCAAUUGUCAGAGGUGAAAUUCUUGGAUUUAUUGAAGACUAACUACUGCGAAAGCAUUUGCCAAGGAUGUUUUCAUUAAUCAAGAACGAAAGUUAGGGGAUCGAAGACGAUCAGAUACCGUCGUAGUCUUAACCAUAAACUAUGCCGACUAGGGAUCGGAUGAUGUUAAUUUUUUAAUGACUCAUUCGGCGCCUUACGGGAAACCAAAGUGUUUGGGUUCCGGGGGGGGUAUGGUCGCAAGGCUGAAACUUAAAGGAAUUGACGGAAGGGCACCACCAGGCGUGGAGCCUGCG